This is a long non-coding RNA of Acinonyx jubatus (cheetah), 3931 nucleotides long. RefSeq lists it as uncharacterized. NCBI's taxonomy places the organism in Eukaryota, Metazoa, Chordata, Mammalia, Carnivora, Felidae. The transcript has 3 exons. The record is from RefSeq and is a predicted model, not a curated record.
GUCGUGCUGCAAAGUUGUUAAAUGGCAAAAACAAAUUACACCAUUACUGUCUUUGACAACAUGACUUUAUUAUUCCGGGAAACUCUUGCCCAGGAAGAUAAAAAGUUGCAAAUGACUUUAUUGUUCCUGUUAGGAACUUUCUGAAAUCAAACAGAUGUAAGUGAACAUCAGACUGCUCAAUAUUUCAAUAGAGAAUAUCAAAUGACUGUUUAUACCUUAAGACGCUUCUAAACCUUCCCCCUGGUAGCCCCUGCCUCGUUGUGUCCACGGAUCCUAAUCAAGCCCCUGCAUUGAAAGACCUGUCUUAAACCAGCCCCUCACACCUCAAAAUAUCCAAAUAUCCUGAUUUUGCCCCCCACCCAAUUCUGAUAUUCUGUUAUACCGUCAAGGUGGCAAUAAACUCAGAUUGGCUGAUGAUUGUUCCAGCAAUAUUUUCAUAAAGAAGCAUUGAAGAAUAAAUACAAGUAACUGAUCCUAGACCUGAGCUCUGUGAAUAUUAGUUUGGGGUGUGUGUGUGUGUGUGUGUGUGUGUGCACAGGUGUGCACGGGCGCUCUUAGGGACUUUCUGAAGGAUGACAUCCAAGAGGAAUCUUUCUUUGGCCACAGGGAUUUCACAUCCAUUUUACCUGCUUCUCCUGACCUGUGAACCCUAUGGAUCUCUUGGGCCAUGACUAAAGUUUGAAAACACUUUUGUCUUCUUUUUAUUCUAUAACAGGUUCUGUAAUUGCAAAGGCCACAUGGGAUCAUGGACAGACUCGGAACCAUGGCUGAGUCCUGGCCCUGCCACGUUUAAGGGAUGUCAGUUAACUUUUGAGCCUCAUUUAAAAUGCAGGUAACACUAUGUAUUAGUCAAAGUUCUCCAGAGAGAACCAAAAUCAAUAGGGUGUGUGCGUGUGGGUGUGUGUAUGUGGGUGUGUAUAUGAAGACAGAAAGAGGAAGAAAGACACGGAGACAGAGUGAGCAAGAUUUAUUUUAAGAAAUUGACUCACAUGAUUGUGGAGGCUUGGCAGGUCCAGAAUCUUCAGGGUAGACCAGCAGGCUGGAGACCCAGGGAGGAGUAGCAGUUGGAGUCCAAAGACAGUCUACUGACAGAAUUCCCUCUUACAUGAGGGAGGUCAGUUUUUUUUCUUUCAAGGCCUUCAACCAAUGGGAUGAGGCCCACUCACAUUAUGGAGGAUAGUCUGUUUUACUCAAAGUCUACUGAUUUAAAUGUUAGUCAUAUCUUUAAAAACUACAAUAAUGUUUGACCAACUAUCUAGGUACAGUGGCCUAGCCACGUUGACACAUAAAUUUUGCCAUUAUGCCAUCCCAGAGUCUCUGUUCUUAACAGCAAUAAUAACGAAAAAUCCAACUCAAUCUAAUGCCAUUUCUCCAAACCCCAAACAUUACCAUUUUCUACUUUUCUAAAGUUAUCAAUCAUCAAUUACUACUUUUCUUUGAAAUGACUGCAUUUUAAAUUUAAAUUUAUUCUAGAAGAAAGAUCUAUUGCACUACAUUGAAAUAAAAGCUAGGGGCACCUGGGUGGCUCAGUCAGUUAAGUCUCCAACUCUUGAUUUCAGCUUAGGUCAUGAUCUUGCAGUUAAUGAGUUCAAGCGCUGCAUCGGAUUCUGCACUAACAACACAGAUCCUGCUUGGUAAUCUCUGUCUCUCUUCUCUCUCUGCCUCUCUCACUCUGAAAAUAAAUAAAUAAACUUAAAAAUAAAAGAAAUAAAAGCUAGUAUAAUUUUAUAUAUACAGAAGUAAUUAUAAAAAUGAAUACAAUUUGAAGAAAGUUAAGGUACUAAAGUCUAGCUAGAAAUCACUAUCUCGGGGUGCCUGGGUGACUUGUUCAGUUGUGUGUCCAACUCUUGAUUUUGGGCUCAGGUCGUGAGCUCAUGGUUCACGGGUUCAAGCCCCACAUCAGACUCCACACUGAUAGUGUGGAGCCUGCUUGUGACUCUCUCUCCUCUCUCUCUGCCCCUUCUGCACUCACACUCUCCCUCUCUUUCUCUCUCUCAAAAUAAAUAAAUAAAUAUUUUUUAAAAAAGGAAAAGAAACCACCAUCUCAUCGAGGUUCUGGCCUGAGUACUACUUAGUUUUUGUUAAGAGGAAAAAGAAAAGAAAGGGAAAAAACAACAACAACAAAAAGAUAGGCAUAGAACAAAUGCAAAAAUAAAGGAGACACAAUAGCAAACUGAAAUCAUUCUCGUUGGCAUAUUCAGAAGGAUUAAGAAAAACAUUUGUUAAGAAUAGUUUUUUCGGCCCACAAGAUUUGAUAUUACAUCAUUUCUAGGAAUGAUGUAAAAUCGUUCCAUGUACAACAAAAAGCGUCUCUUAUGGAUAUGUAUCUUACUCCUUGGGAAACAUAGACUUCUAAGGGAGAAGGAAUCAGUGCCCAAACCUAAGACACAGUAAGAGACGAGAAGUGCAUGUUUGAGGGGGGACAAAGUGUGUCACGCUCUGUUAAGGUAAGCUGUUUUCUCUAGUUUCCCUAAAAACCUCUCAGUCAAAUCAACGUUGGAAGCUAAUGCAAUUCAUUCGCUAUAGAUGUAAGAAAGUGCUGAGCUGCGCUUCAAAAGUGGCUGCACAGCAAAAACAAAAUCCACAGAGACGGUGGAUGUGUGGGUGAUAAAUGCCAUCUCAUUCAAAGGAUUAUUGGGCAUCUAUCAGACCCAGGCUCUGCACCAAACCUUGGGAAGGUAGAGACGAAGAACAUGGUCCCUACCUCUGUGGAGCUCGUGCUUGUGGGAGGGGUGUGGUGUACUGGGUGGUCCCCCAAAGAACACAAGCACUUUCCAAGGGUGAUACAUAGAAUUCCCCAUUCUGCUACUCCUUUUUUCCCCCCUCUUGGAACAUACUAGUUUCCUUCUCCCUUGGGUCAAUAGCAUGUUUCCAGUUCCACUAGUACAUUACAAAUUUAUAAUUUUAAAUGUACUGGUAUAGAAAUCAUGUAUUUACUUUGUUAAAUAAGAGAUUGAGAGACGACAUGGUAUAAUGACACAAACUAGAAUUCCUAAAUUUUAAGUUGGCCAUCCAGUACCUGGGUAACCUUCCUCUGCUUCAAAUUUUCUUAGGACAAAGGCUUAAUACUAUGUCUGUCUUACGGACAAAAGAUUUGUUAUUGAACUUUACUUUUAUGUAAAAGUAUAUAAAAAGUAUAUGCCCCUGCCCUCCCUGUACUCCCAUAACUGUGGCUAUGAGAUUACUCUCUGGCCAAUGGAAUGUAAACCGAAAUCUGGUUUUAUUUAUUUAUUUUGUUAAAUGUUUUAUUUAUUUUUAAGACAGAGAGAGACAGAGCAUGAGUGGGGAUGGGGCAGAGAGAGAGGGAGACACAGAAUCUGAAGCGGGCUCCAGGCUCUGAGCUGUCAGCACAGAGCCCGACAAGAGGCUCGAACCCACGAGUUGUGAGAUCGUGACCUGAGCUGAAGUCAGACGCUCAACCGACUGAGCCACCUGGGCACCCUUAGAAAUCUGGUUUUAAAAAAAGGUACUCUGCUCCCCUUUUUUGGUCCCUUCCUCCAUCCUGCUGCUUGGAGCAUCCUGCAACACUAGCUGGCAUCUUGGAGCUUGGGGAUGAAGGCCACAUCCUAGACAUGCACGAAAGAAAACAAUUUUAAAAUAACAUUGUAUCCUUAAAGCAACUCUAAUGAAUGACUUUCACUAGCAGAUUUUUAAGUAAGCGACAUGGAGAAGAAUGAACCUGGACCACUGUCUUACACCAUACACAAAAAUAAACUCAAAAUGGAUGAAAGACCUCAAUGGAAGACAGGAAGCCAUCAAAAUCCUUGAGGAGAAAGCAGGCAAAAACCUCUUUGAUCUUGGCUGCAGCAACUUCUUACUCAACACGUCUCCAGAGGCAGGGGAAACAAAAGCAAAAAUGAGCUACUGGGACCUCAUCAAAAUAAAAAGCUUCUGCACAGUGAAGGAAACAAUCAACAAAACUAAAAGGCAA